This 193-nucleotide ribosomal RNA is filed under the name uncultured bacterium. Its description in RNAcentral is "partial 16S ribosomal RNA". It matches the Rfam family "Bacterial small subunit ribosomal RNA", at positions 338 to 524 of the family's 1533-position model. The record is from RNAcentral.
CCUACGGGAGGCAGCAGUGGGGAAUUGUUCGCAAUGGGCGCAAGCCUGACGACGCAACGCCGCGUGGAGGAUGAAGGUCUUCGGAUUGUAAACUCCUGUUGCCCGGGACGAAUGGCCACGACCUAACACGUCGUGGUGUGACGGUACCGGGUGAGGAAGCCCCGGCUAACUCUGUGCCAGCAGCCGCGGUAAU